Molecule: long non-coding RNA, 1106 nt
Filed under: Mus musculus (house mouse)
Lineage: Eukaryota; Metazoa; Chordata; Mammalia; Rodentia; Muridae
Description: predicted gene, 56684
Source: RNAcentral
CUCUUUCAGCUCCAGCCUGCCUCCCAGGUGUACCAGGUUCAAGUAGGCUGCAGGCCAGCAUGAAACAGAUUGGCGUCUGAGCCAGGGACAUUGGGAAUGGUGGGAAAACACCGAGGGAAUCACUGUCUUGUAUGGAGCUCCAAGGGAAGGAAAGAAUCAGAGGAUCCUAUUGGACACGGAAGUGCUGAGAAAAUCCCUUGGCAGGAAGUGGAACCUAUUAUCAAUAUCUACAUAAGGAGUCUCUGGCCAUAUGUGAGAUGCCAUGCUUCCUCCAUAUGGUGAGUACCUUGCCCUACACCUGCCAUGGACUAAACAUGGAUGUUCUCCCUGAGGGUAAAUACCCAUCCUGUAAAAUCUUAUCCACAUACAACCUUCAACUGGAAAUCCAGAGCUCCCAGAAAGCUAAAAAUCUCCUAGCAUUUGAGUUCAUCAAAUGCACAAUGUGAACAUGCACAAGAAAAUGAUGUCUCCUGGGUUUUCCUAUAUGUGCAUUUCAGCUGCUGGACUCAGUUUAAAAAACUGCUUGACUUGAUGCAGACUCCCACAGCCAAACACUGGGCACAGAAAGAGCCGCACUUGAAGAUCUCAAUUGGAUUCCUCCCUUUGGAGCUCAGAGAUGACAAGCUAAGAAGGAGAGACAGGAUUUUAGGAGCCAGAGGAGUCAAGGACACUAAGAAAACCCACCCACAGAAUUAACUAAGCAGGGCUCACAGGGGCUCACACAGAUCAAAAUGACAAUCAGGAUGUCUGUAUGGGUCAGGGCUUGGUCCUCUGAAAAUGUAGAUAUCAACUUGGUGUUCUUGUGAGAGCCCUCAAACUGGGAGUGAAGGUGUCUCAGACUCUUUCCCUUGAGCUUGGGACUGCUUCCCUCCUACUGUGUUGUCUCUUCCAGCUGUGAGAAGGUUUGUUCCUGUUCAUAUGAAUCUUGUUGUGCCAUGUUCAGUUGAUAUCCCUGGGUGACCUGCUAUAUUCUCAGCCAGUACAGAGGAGUAGACAUAGGAGAGGGAGGAGGAUGACCUGGGAGGAGGUGAUUGAGGAAUAAACAAGGUCCUGAUGUAUUCUUUGGAAGGAGAAGAGAGAAAUAAAUAGAAAAAAAUGAUCACUAA